GGACUACCGGGGUAUCUAAUCCCGUUUGCUCCCCUGGCUUUCGCGCCUCAGCGUCAGAAGAGGUCCAGCAGCUCGCUUUCGCCACCGGCGUUCCUUCCGAUAUCAACGCAUUUCACCGCUCCACCGGAAGUUCCAGCUGCCCCUACCUCCCUCCAGCCCCCCAGUAUCCAAGGCCCUUUUCCGGUUAAGCCGAAAGAUUUCACCCCGGACUUGGGAGACCGCCUACGCGCCCUUUAAGCCCAGUGAUUCCGAACAACGUUUGCACGGUUCGUCUUACCGCGGCUGCUGGCAC
Molecule: ribosomal RNA, 292 nt
Filed under: uncultured Planctomycetota bacterium
Lineage: Bacteria; Pseudomonadati; Planctomycetota
Description: uncultured planctomycete partial 16S ribosomal RNA
Source: RNAcentral